UUUUUCUCCUCUUGCACUAAAGAGUCGAAAUUUGUCCUGGUAAAUUUAUGGUAAAAUCUAUUUUACAGUUCAAGAUUCUGCUGUUGUGAAGACAUCACAUUUUAUUUAACAAGAGGUAUUCAGACUCUCUAGUCCUAAGCCAUCCAAGAGCAGACCUAGCCAAGGAACCAUUCUUCUCUCUCCUCGAGUUGAACUCACAGCUGCAGGAAGAUUUACUGAAAAAUUUCAGGAAAGAUCAAGAGGGCAUGAUCACCUGCAGUACAUGGCUUUAUCAAGAAAGUUCUGCUUUACUCCUGC
Molecule: long non-coding RNA, 297 nt
Organism: Chiroxiphia lanceolata (lance-tailed manakin)
Lineage: Eukaryota; Metazoa; Chordata; Aves; Passeriformes; Pipridae
Exons: 2
Source: RefSeq, a predicted model, not a curated record